GUUUGAUCAUGGCUCAGGAUGAACGUUGGCGGCGUGCCUAACACAUGCAAGUCGAACGGGAAGCCGAUUUCGGUCGGCAGAGAGUGGCGCACGGGUGCGUAACACGUAGCUCACCUGGCCCGAAGCGCGGGAUAACGCACCGAAAGGUGUGCUAAAACCGCAUAAGCUCACGAUCUGUAGAGGGUUGUGAGAAAAACGUUAGUGCUUCGGGAUGGGGCUGCGGCCCAUCAGCUAGUUGGUGCGGUAACGGCGUACCAAGGCGACGACGGGUAGGGGGCCUGAGAGGGUGGCCCCCCACACUGGGACUGAGACACGGCCCAGACUCCUACGGGAGGCAGCAGUGAGGGAUAUUGCACAAUGGGCGCAAGCCUGAUGCAGCGACGCCGCGUGGGUGAUGAAGGUCUUCGGAUCGUAAAACCCUUUUCUGCGUGACGAUGAUGACGGUAGCGCAGGAAUAAGUGUCGGCUAACUACGUGCCAGCAGCCGCGGUAAAACGUAGGACGCAAACGUUAUCCGGAAUUACUGGGCGUGAAGGGCGCGCAGGCGGUUGGAUUAGUGAGGCAUGAAAGCCCCAUGGCUAAACCUGGGGAGGUUGUCUGAGACUGUCUGACUAGAGUACGAUAGAGGGGUGUAGAAUUCCGCGUGUAGUGGUGAAAUGCGUAGAGAUGCGGAGGAAUACCAGAGGCGAAGGCGGCACCCUGGAUCGUAACUGACGCUGAGGCGCGAAAGCAUGGGUAGCGAACGGGAUUAGAAACCCCGGUAGUCCAUGCCGUAAACGAUGUGUACUCGAUGUUUCGGCCUACAUUGUAGGUUGAGUGUCUAACAAACGCGGUAAGUACACCGCCUGGGGAGUACGGUCGCAAGGCUAAAACUCAA
RNAcentral lists this ribosomal RNA (876 nucleotides) under uncultured bacterium. RNAcentral describes it as "bacterial SSU rRNA". It matches the Rfam family "Bacterial small subunit ribosomal RNA", at positions 11 to 904 of the family's 1533-position model. The record is from RNAcentral.